Molecule: transfer RNA, 69 nt
Filed under: Ictidomys tridecemlineatus (thirteen-lined ground squirrel)
Lineage: Eukaryota; Metazoa; Chordata; Mammalia; Rodentia; Sciuridae
Description: Spermophilus tridecemlineatus (thirteen-lined ground squirrel) tRNA
Rfam family: tRNA
About the family: Transfer RNA (tRNA) molecules are approximately 80 nucleotides in length. Their secondary structure includes four short double-helical elements and three loops (D, anti-codon, and T loops).
Source: Rfam by way of RNAcentral
GGGAUUGUGGCUCAAUGGUAGAGUGUUUGCCUAGUAUGCAUGAGGCACUGGGUUCAAUCCUCAGCACCA